This 443-nucleotide ribosomal RNA is filed under the name uncultured bacterium. Its description in RNAcentral is "partial 16S ribosomal RNA". It matches the Rfam family "Bacterial small subunit ribosomal RNA", at positions 338 to 795 of the family's 1533-position model. The record is from RNAcentral.
CCUACGGGUGGCAGCAGUGGGGAAUAUUGGGCAAUGGGCGCAAGCCUGACCCAGCAACGCCGCGUGAAGGAAGAAGGCUUUCGGGUUGUAAACUUCUUUUCUCAGGGACGAAGCAAGUGACGGUACCUGAGGAAUAAGCCACGGCUAACUACGUGCCAGCAGCCGCGGUAAUACGUAGGUGGCAAGCGUUAUCCGGAUUUACUGGGUGUAAAGGGAGCGUAGACGGUUAUGUAAGUCUGGAGUGAAAGCCCGGGGCCCAACCCCGGGACUGCUUUGGAAACUGUGUAACUGGAGUACAGGAGGGGCAGGCGGAAUUCCUGGUGUAGCGGUGAAAUGCAUAGAUAUCGCGCAGAACUCCGAUUGCGAAGGCAGCAUGCCGGCUCCACACUGACGCUGAGGCACGAAAGCGUGGGUAUCGAACAGGAUUAGAUACCCCAGUAGUC